Brassica rapa (field mustard) is the source of this 1828-nucleotide long non-coding RNA. RefSeq lists it as uncharacterized. The record is from RefSeq and is a predicted model, not a curated record. NCBI's taxonomy places the organism in Eukaryota, Viridiplantae, Streptophyta, Magnoliopsida, Brassicales, Brassicaceae.
CUUUUAGAUCCAUUUUGCAUUGACAUUUUCUUGCGUUAUUUACUACAAACACCAAAGAAGGCAAAGCCAAAUCAAGACACUACCAAACUAAUAAAGACAUGAGCUUUCUCAACAGAAACAAAUUUUCUAACAACUGGGUUUGUCUCUGAGUUUAACACACAAUGAACAAGACAAGAGAGGUUAUAUUAGAUGAUGAGCCUGCAUUACUCAGAAAAGAUUAAAAAAAAAUGCACAUGAGUUCAAAGUUAUAACCUUUGACAAGAAGUGGCUUGCUGCUACUGUGUGGAAACGAAUCGGUCCUGAAUUAGAUUUGCCAAGAGACGAAAAGCCUUCAUCUUUCACUCAGGAUAAGAUAUUACGAAAGAGGGUCAACUAGAUCGGAAGCAGAUACGUUUCCCAGAAACCAUUAAGGAAGAGAGAGAGAGAGAAAGAGAGAAAGCAGACGAGACGACGACUCCUGCGUGAGAGAGAGAGAGAGAAGAGUGGGUUGGUUGAUUUACUCUUUUCCAUUUUGAAAUUUCAAACUAAUAAAUAAAUAAUACUAAUAUUAAUUUUUUUCUUUCUUUCUUUAUAUGCCUUCCCCCAUAGCUUACUGAACCGGCCGGUUUGAUUUUGAAAUUAUAGUACCAUUGGAUUUGGAACCCCUGCACUCCCUAUAUAAACGACAUUAUUACUACUAGAUUUCCUGGCAGAUACGUAAUGGAGAUGCAGACAACCAGUUACUAUUACAGUCCCAAAGCAAUCAAAAGAUAUCCGAAUCACUAUUGCCAUUAAAUUUCAACCUGUUAAUAACACUCAAAACCAGAGGAGGAGGCAAUUGUGAAGGAGUGGAGGUUUUUUUGUCAACUAGUUGUAUUUCAUUUCAUUGAAAUGAAAAGGCCCAAAUGUUCUUUUUUUUUUACCUAAAUUAUAUUUUUAAUUGGUUUUACCUAAAAUUUUUUUAUUACAGUUUGUUUUUAUUUUAAAAAUGUAUCGACUCUACUAAAAAAUACUCCCUCCGUUUUUUAAUGUAAGUCGUUUUAGAGAAACAUUUUUAUUCCAAAUUAUAUGUCGUUUUCGGUUUUCUAUGUAAAAUUUAUUAAUAAUUAAUAAUAUCUGACCAAUGAUAAUAUAUCUUCUAUUUUUCUAUUGGUUGAAUUGUGGUUAUGUAAAUAAUUAAUGAUGUUUUUGUUUAGAAAAUACAAAGUUAAUCAUUUUCUUAAUCUAUAUGCAUAGCUGUAAAACGACUUAUAUUAAAAAAACGGAGGGAGUAAACAUUUAUCUCCACUAAAAUUGUUUCUGACUCCUGCUCACAACAAAGAAUACAUCAUGUUCCCUAUUUAUUUCAUGCAAAGUACUAUAAACUAAUAUCAUGAUUUCACCUCGUUUUCACCUACAAAAACCAAAGAGGAUUGAAAGAAAGAAAAAAAAAAGCUUUGGCAAAUCACUGUGCUUUUGUGCCUUUGUCUAGCAGCGUCCAAGUAAAAUCUUGUUCUUACAGUGUUUGAUGAGGUUUCCUAGAGCUUAACAGUAUCAACUACAUGAGUGACAGUGUUUUGAGUUGUUGGGUAAAGAAAACCCUGAAAGAGUGACUCUAAGAAGAGACAGAGAGUGCUCCAAAUGAAUUCAUUUUCAUUACUCAAACAUUCCCUCUUAUGAAUAUCUAAUACUACUACAUUAUUCAAAAAACCCAACAAUAAAUAGUUGCGUGAAUGGUUUCACAGUAGUAAGCACAAAUAACUUUAAAAAAAAACAUAAAACUUUAAGCCAAAGAAGAGAGACUCAUUCUUCCAAGAACAAGUAUAUAAUUCUGCUGAAAACAAAUGAGGAUAGAUCGACUACCACAAAA